GCUGUUUUGGCAGAUUAUAUGCGCUAGAUUUAGGAUCUAGGAAAAUAGAGUUUAUGUCUAUAAAUAGUAAAAUGAUUAGAAUAGCUAAUUGUUUU
This 95-nucleotide transfer RNA is filed under the name Carpilius sp. SR20. RNAcentral's name for it is "transfer RNA-Val". Lineage: Eukaryota; Metazoa; Arthropoda; Malacostraca; Decapoda; Carpiliidae. The record is from RNAcentral.